GGUAGCGGAAGUAGGUAUACCCUAUAAACGACACCAGGAAGGCCGCGAGCCACCUCUGGGUCACGCCCCCUCUUCCUUUACAUGGCCGCAAGGGGCGGUACCGGCUGCUCGCCCACCGUGGGGGGCGGAGUCUUAUGCAAAUCGACCCCGUAAACGUAAAUAGAAUAGCCUGAGGAAAGCUUGAUCUCUGUGUGGGUGGGGGGUGGUGCGUGCGCUCAUGGCGUAGAGACGCUGUGCUGAUGUGUCAUCGGUCGCCUUCCUUUCCCCCGACAUUACGCGUGCAAGUCUGAGAGCACCUCACAUGCCUGGUGGGAAAGGGGAGCGUGGCUGGUGGCACUCCUCUCUGACACCUUGUAAGGAAUGGAAUGCGGGGGUGGGGCCGUCGCGGUCUCAACCCGGUCACCCCCUCUAGGAAAACCAGCGGGGGUGGGUUAGAACUCAAUCCCGGAGUCGGAAAGUAUAGUAACGGCUGAUGCAGCCGCUCUCGUCCACAAAAAGGUGGGGGCUGGCCUGCCUCAAGCGCCUUUCCUGGGGGAAGAGAGGGACCCCUGUCUUUUGCUGGAGCUCCGCGAGAGUUGAGGGCCGCUGGGAGGCAGCAGAGGCGCCUCGGAGGGCAGGUGCUUAUGGGUGGCUCCAUGUGGGGUCGAGUGGCCUGGCCUGGGCUCUUGCCUCAGAGGCGGGCUGAAAUGGGCGAAGCUAGGGUGUUGCUGUUGGGGUGCUGCUCUUCUGGAGCAAGAUCUGGAGUGGCUGAACCCACGCGUUCCUGCAACAAGUCCUUGAGGCAGCUCAGUAAGGUCCAGCUUGGAACCGCUCUGGUAGCCCAAGAUGAAGGGCUCCGUAACAUGACCCGCGGUGAGUAAAUUGAACGCUACUAACGCGUUGUGUUUGCCCUGAUGUUAAAAAAGUCUGUAAAAAGGCUGGUGUUGGCCAUCUGUCCCGGUUAAUUUUUUUGCAAGUGGUGCAGUGCAUAAUGCUCGCAGUUGCUGCAGAGCAUGAAGUGACAAGUAUUCUUUUUAUUUUUCAGAAUUCAUUAAAAAGCAUAGCGAUAUAUGGGAUCAUACCGACUCCUUAAAUCAAAUGCCCUUCCUGAAAAAAAGAAAAAGCUGAUUACCCACAGUAGCCGCAGGCUGAGAAUAUAAGACUCUUGCAUAUAGCAACUUGCAGUUGAAAACACUUAUUUAUCUUGCUUGAAUUUAACAAUGAACAGUACUUGAUAGUAUACGAUGCAGAAGCUGUGAUUUGAGUCCCUAGUUGCUUCAUUCACGUGGAUUAGUUUACCCAGAUAGACUACAUUUUCUAUGAUGUAAUGCAAGUGUUCAUCUGGUGUUAAUUAUCCGAGGCUCACCCUGCACCCUGGUAACUCUGUAGCAGGGAAAGCCUGGGACAAUAGCAUGAACUAGGGUAAAAGAUACAAAAGAAGCUCUUUUCUCCCUGUGAGGUUCCGUGGUUUAUUUCUUCAUGGCGUCCAGGAGGCAAAGAAGAAGAUCUCCAAGGACAGGGGUCUUUUCUAGGGUCAGGAAGAGGCGGGGGGGGGGGGGGGGAAUUGGCAUCCUGCCAAUAGGACAAAGGCAGAGGGGAUAGGGUCAGACCAUAGGUAUUACAGGGAUCACAAGAAUCAAGGGACAUACCAUUCUUGAUACAUCUUGGAUAGUGGAUUACAACAAUCUGGGAAAUGCAUAGUUGGGAGAUGGCUCCAUCAGUGAAAUCAGCGAAAUAAUGUCAAGUGUAUCAGGUGUAAGAUCUAAAUACAAAUAACAUCAAGUUGACUUGAAACUUGAUAUCUAGUUUUUGUUUUCACCAAAACCUGAGACUACACCAAUAGUUUAUUAUUUUAACAGGUGUUUAAAGAGCUUUGCAGAAACUCUUUUCCAUUAAAACUGAACGGGAAAUUCAAUUAACUGUAUAAGAUUUGUAGACUGGGUUUUAAAAAAAGAUCAACAGAAAACCUGAAGAUGGUUUAAAAUAUGCAAGUAUUUGCUUUUCCACAUACUGCUAAGCUCAUAGACAGUAGCAUUGAUUUUUCAUUUCAUAGGUGAAGAAUCUUUUUACAUCUAGGUAAAGAACUUAUUUUUCUGCUGACAGUUACUUAUAUUAAGAAAAUGGCUUAUGGUUUUUAAUCAAGGAGUUUAAAUUGUAGACUAUAUAUAGGGACUCAACUGUGUUCUGCAGAGUUCAUUUUCUGUAUAUGCUAUAAGGUGGUGGUUUUUUUGGGAUCAUGAGCUCUACCUUCUGAACAGGAAAUGAGUAUAAACUGAUUCUUGUGUUUCUGGGUAUAGACAGUACAAAACAGUUACUCUUGAGGUACCAGUUGUGUAAGUUCACAGAUACCUUGCUGAGAUAUUAACUUACAUUUUCAUCAUUUUGGUUAUAUACUUUAGAAGUGAUCUCCUGGAUUUAUAACCUAAUUCCUACUAAAUUUUGGAGAUAUUUGAGAGCCUGAAUACUACAGACAAGAGAUAAGGAUGAAGCACUUUAUUUUACUAUUAAUAUGGUAUUGAUUUCAGUAUUUCUGAGAGCAGAUAAAU
RNAcentral lists this long non-coding RNA (2525 nucleotides) under Catharus ustulatus (Swainson's thrush). Its description in RNAcentral is "lncRNA (ENSCUSG00005014219.1)". The record is from RNAcentral. Lineage: Eukaryota; Metazoa; Chordata; Aves; Passeriformes; Turdidae.